AGUCGUUUGCGCUUGUAACUCCAAGCUUUGGAGGGCUAAAGAGUUCGUAUCGUUGAUUGUGGACUUGAAGCCCAAUGUCAGAGCACAGUGUAAACGCCACACCUGCUUCCUGUCUUCCCUACACCACGGUGUGUGCCAUAAAGGUCUGAGUGGUCCUCGUGUGGAGGCCUUCCGCCCGUGUCGAGCAUAAGAGGGUCGGGUGGUCCUGUGAAGGAGAAUUGGCAGGCAGCGGGCCUCGAGGCUGCAGGAUCCCUUGGGCUGGAGUACCACUUCAUGUAGCAUGGGGUUCGCUUACUAAUC
Molecule: long non-coding RNA, 300 nt
Filed under: Brachypodium distachyon (stiff brome)
Lineage: Eukaryota; Viridiplantae; Streptophyta; Magnoliopsida; Poales; Poaceae
Description: long non-coding RNA (BDIS_LNC003916)
Source: RNAcentral